RNAcentral lists this ribosomal RNA (262 nucleotides) under uncultured archaeon. Its description in RNAcentral is "partial 16S ribosomal RNA". It matches the Rfam family "Archaeal small subunit ribosomal RNA", at positions 748 to 1009 of the family's 1478-position model. The record is from RNAcentral.
CAGCCGUAAACAAUGUGCGUUAGGUGUGUCGGUAACCACGUGUUACUGAUGCGCCGAAGAGAAAUCGUGAAACGCACCACCUGGGAAGUACGGUCGCAAGGCUGAAACUUAAAGGAAUUGGCGGGGGGAGCACCACAACAGGUGGAGCCUGCGGUUUAAUUGGAUUCAACGCCGGACAUCUCACCGGAUAAGACAGCUGAAUGAUUGUCAAUCUGAAGGUUUUACAUGACUAGCUGAGAGGUGGUGCAUGGCGUAGACGUCU